This 305-nucleotide ribosomal RNA is filed under the name uncultured bacterium. RNAcentral describes it as "bacterial SSU rRNA". It matches the Rfam family "Bacterial small subunit ribosomal RNA", at positions 335 to 638 of the family's 1533-position model. The record is from RNAcentral.
CCUCCUACGGGGGGCAGCAUUGAGGAAUAUUGGUCAAUGGUCGGGAGCCUGAACCAUCCAAUCCGCUUGAGGGAAGAAGGUACAUCGUAUCGUAAACCUCUUUUGUCAGGGAACAAAGGCGGGGACUAGUCCCCGGAUGAGGGUACCUGAAGAAAAAGCAUCGGCUAACUCCGUGCCAGCAGCCGCGGUAAUACGGAGGAUGCGAGCGUUAUCCGGAUUUAUUGGGUUUAAAGGGUGCUCAGGCGGCCUGUUAAGUCAGCGGUAAAAGCCCGGGGCUCAACCCCGGCGAGCCGUUGAAACUGGCG